CUCUCGCUCACUAGGGGACCCGAGACCCAGUUUCAGGUGAGAGGAUCCCUUCUCUCCACUGCUUUCCAGGAGCCAGAGGUCUGCGUCCUUCAUGCCAGCAAGCCCAAGGCCAAACAGAGGCCAGGCAAUCAAUAAGCACUUGCUGGAGGGAAAAGGCCAGACUGAAUGGAGGAAUCCAUCUCUGGGAGUUGUCCAGGGUCAAGGGCCUCCUACUGACACCUGUGCUGAGCACCAGUGGGAAAGCAGUCACCUUUGCUCAGAGGGCGGAAGGGUCAGAGGGGCAGGUGCACCUGGUUCAUCUGCUCCUAGUGAGGUGCAGAACUAAAGGGACAGACACCUCCAGGAGUGGUGAUGACCUCACACUUGACCUCUGUCUUCUGCGUCACCAAAAAAAGAGCACUUUUGCAUAAACACUGCAGAAGACUCCACUGCACUGUUCUAGAAAACAAGGUGUUCACAGAGAUGGUAAGCACAAAGAAAUGGAAGGAACUCCUCUUCCAACUCCCUGCCUCGCACUUCUCUACCAAUCACCUUGAAUGACUGGAGAUUAUUCUGCCCCAUCUGCACCAUGGCCUGAUUUGACCCGGCUUCUGGGGAAGUGCCUGCAAACAGGCCUGGUGUGAAGGGCAGCCUCUGGCCAGGGAAAGGCCUUCCUCAGGACCAGUACCAGCUCCUGUUUGCAGAUGGUCCAAAAUCACUGACUGAGAAGGGGCUGUGUACCUUGCCAAGAAAGUGGACUAAUAUUUUUGGGAAGUUUUAAUUUGCUUCAAUUAAAAAUUGAGGGCAGUUCUGAGCAAAACAGAAGUAGGUGAAUUUAUUUUCUGGGCCUCUGCACAGAUCUUUCUGGGCCCUCAGCCUCUGCAGCUGUUUCCAAGAGGCCUCUACCCCAGCCAGCAUUUCCCAACUAGCCGGUUCCAUGACUCCUACCAUUCCCCCCCUACUCUCCCGCCAAAGCAGGCCAGACCUGCCAGGGAGAAACUAAUCUUAGAAAUCAUCUUUUUUCUUUCUUUGAGACGGAGUCUUGCUCUGUCGCCCAGGCUGGAGUGCAGUGGCACCAUCUUGGCUCACUGCAAGCUCCGCCUCCCGGGUUCACAUCAUUCUCCUGCCUUAGCCUCCAGAGUAGCUGGGACUACAGGCGCCCACCUCCACCACUAAUUUUUUGUAUUUUUAGUAAAGACAGGGUUUCACUAUGUUAGCCAGGAAGGUCUCCAUCUCCUGACCUCGUGAUCCGCCCGCCUCAGCCUCCCAAAGUGUUGGGAUUACAGGCGUGAGCCAGUGCACCCGGCCAAUCUUUUUUCUAAAUGGAAGUGAAUGGCUUAAUUACCCUUUUCUGGGGAAAAUUGUGUACAUGCACUGAGAUUUUAAGCAGAUACACAAAAAUUGGGUAAGAAUGCUUGAAUCUAGAGUUAGGGGGUCAGGCAUAUGAGAGCAACUCACUCUACAUUCUUAAGUACAGUAUACAUUUUUUUCCUGUAUACAUUCUUUUAAAUACAUUUUAAAUAAUUUUAAAUAAAUGUAAAAGUACA
Molecule: long non-coding RNA, 1526 nt
Filed under: Homo sapiens (human)
Lineage: Eukaryota; Metazoa; Chordata; Mammalia; Primates; Hominidae
Description: HSALNT0047532
Source: RNAcentral